This 485-nucleotide ribosomal RNA is filed under the name Lygodactylus heterurus. Its description in RNAcentral is "partial large subunit ribosomal RNA". It matches the Rfam family "Bacterial large subunit ribosomal RNA", at positions 1926 to 2597 of the family's 2925-position model. Lineage: Eukaryota; Metazoa; Chordata; Lepidosauria; Squamata; Gekkonidae. The record is from RNAcentral.
AACGGCCGCGGUAUCCUAACCGUGCAAAGGUAGCGCAAUCACUUGCCCUUUAAUUAGGGGCUAGUAUGAACGGUUACAUGAGGGUCUAACUGUCUCCUAUGACCAAUCAAUGAACUUGAUGAUUCAGUACAAACGCUGAAAUAAUUACACAAGACGAGAAGACCCUGUGGAACUUUAAGUUUUCUGAUAGCGGACCAAAAUUUCCAAACCCCUCCUUUCUAACAGAUACUUUCAGUUGGGGCAACUACGGAGCAAAAAAAUCCUCCACGAACAACAACUUACACCUGUCCCUCAGGCUUACAUGCCACCCACCCUCUGUCAGACCCAGCAAAGCUGACCUACGAACCAAGCUACCCCAGGGAUAACAGCGCUAUCCCCUUCAAGAGUCCUUAUCGCCAAGGGGGUUUACGACCUCGAUGUUGGAUCAGGACCCCCCGGCGGUGCAGCCGCUGCCAAAGGUUCGUUUGUUCAACGAAUAACGUCCU